CAUGUAGUUGUAACUACAUACAAUCAAACAAAUUCUUACAGAAUGUUUGGCUCAUAAUUGGAAUAAGAAUGAAAAAUAGAAUUGAAUUGUAUUCGAAUGAAAAAUAGAAUGACGAAUCAUACAAAAAUAUUUGGUUCAUUAUUGGAAUAGAAAUCAAAAUGGACAUCUAGAAUUUUGAGAAAUGAUUCUGAUCAAGAGAGAGGAGAGUGAUGAAGGAAGAGGAGAGAGGGGUGUUUGUGUGAGAGAGUUUUAAAUGGUUUACUUUGAAAUGCACCAAUCCAGAAUUCAAAACUAGAUUAGACCAUAUAUGGAUUGGAUCAUUUUCAUUCUAGAAUGGAAUGAAAAUGAAAAUUCAAAUUCAUGUAUAACAAAUAAUAACUAUGAAAUCAAUGAAUCUCAUUCUGAUUCUAUAGUUUAAAAUAGAUGAAUCAAACAAGCCCGUAAUGCAGUUGGCUAAGAAAUUGAUUAUUUAUAUUCGAGGUCCACUAUCAUCCUAACUACACAUCUCUUCAUUCAAAGGCCGAAAACCUAAUAGUGCACCAAUGACUCUGAGUAGGGCUAUUGUGCUAUUAGGAACACAGCAGCUCUUAUGUUUCUAACUUUCUAACCAUCCAUCAAUUUUGAUAGGUCAUUAGAACAAGAGAGAGAAGAAAAAUUGGGAGAAAUUGGGUGUCUCAAUUUAUCUUCUUUUUGAAUUUCUCUCCAAUUUCUUUUUUUUCUCAUCUUAAUCACUCAUCAAAAUUAAUAGGUGGUUAAAAAGUUAGGAGCAUAAGGGCUGUUGUUCCUAAUAGCACAGUAACCCUACUCUAUAUAUAUACUAUUUCAAAUCCUGAGAUGUCUCAUAGAUCACGCCAAUUUUGAUUAAUAUAUAUAUAAUUUUUUUAUGAUUUUACUGACUAAUGGAAAACAUAUUUCAAUAUAUCUUCGGCUUAGCUCUGUUUCGUCUAAUAGUGUCAGACGGUAUCUUAAUGCCUUCAUCAGGUUUAUGUCGUCUCUACUUCUUCUUGUUUUUUUUUUUUUUUUUUUUUUUUUGAGAGAUAGAUAUCACUCUAUCCGCUUCGUUUAUUUUAUUUCGAAAUAAACUUAGCUAUAAGUGUGAAUCAACUAUAAUUCAAACUUGGGUCUCGAGUAUCAACCAAUAAGUUUUUUUGCCACUUGCUUUAGUGACGGCCGGUUGUGUUAAUUUAUUAGUUUCAAGUAAUGUGAACAGGUGAAUCUUAAUCAUUNAGUGGGUGGUUGGUUAAAUAGUUUAAUCUAAUGGUUGAAAAUGAUCCGAGGAGUAGAUCUCACGGUAAAAAACUUGCAAACAUCAAGUGCUUGGUGCUUUUACAAGCACCAUAGCUGGACUCUCUCUCUCUCUCUCUCUCUCUAUAUAUAUAUAUAUAUCAUAUGAAGUCUCUUGUGAUAUUCUCUAUAUUUCAUUUUCGAAAAAAAAAAAAACUAAAUGAGUUCCUUUUAUUAUUAUUAUUAUUAUUGUUAUUUUGAAGUAGGGAGGGAAUCAAAAGAGAGUUUACUAAAACAAUCAACUACCCUCACAAGCCAUAUGCAACUAGGUAAAGCAAAACAAGUAGCCAAAUAAAUAAGGUUGGCGAGCAUAAUUAUCCUCUAAAAAAAGAUAUUAUUUAUGAGAAAAUUAAAAAAUAUAUAAUCUAAGAGUUAUCUAAGGAGAGUUGACAAUGCGAGAAAAUUCCUUGUUUUUUCAUUUUAACUCUUUUUUCUUAAGAAAAGAGAACAUUCCUUUUAUAUGCUGAAAUGUCAACGUGCAAGUCAACUAUCAUUCAAGCUUGUGCAGAUAUUAUUUUACGUUCUAUAUAUGUACAUGCAAAUUGAAGUUCAAAAAAUUAUAGCAAGAGAUGCUAAAGGAGAGAUGAUUAUGUUAAUUAAAUAUGUUAAAGCGUAUUUCUCUCUUUGAGCUUAAGUUUAUGAGCGUGUUUGGUUUGACAAUUUUUCAACCAGGAAUUUGAAUUCAGAAUGAAAAUGGAUUGCUUCGUUUGUAUAUGUGACAUCCCCAAUAGUCCCACAUCGGAUGGGAUAUUGAUUCCGAUCAGUUUAUAUGAGACCUACACGCUAAUAAUAAUAAUCGGACUUAAGCAUUUUGGGUCGGUGAUUUAGGCCCAACGAGUUAUUAUUACUAGCGGGUCGGGUCGUUGCAAUUGAUAUUAGAGCCGAAUACCAGCCGGAAGUAUGCGGGACAAAGUGCUACACCAACGGGUUUUGGUGGGAGCCACCUCUUGAAUCCGUAGGAGCCACCUCUAGAAUCUCACAUUGCCUGGUAAUGGUCCUAGUAUGUCUGUGAUCUGAUUUGGACCCGACGAGGACGUCAGGAUCUAAACAGGGGGAGAGUUUGUAACACUCCCAAUAGUCCCACAUCGGAUGGGAUACUGUCUGAUUAUAGUCCCACAUCGGAUGGGAUACUGAUUACUGAUUCUAAUAAUAAUCGGACUUAAGCAUUUUGGGUCGAUGGUUUGGGCUCAACAAGUUAUUGUUGCUAGCGGGUCGGGUCGUUGCUAUGUAUGUUUGGUAUACGAGAGUUUCGAUUCUUGUUUCCGAAUGAACUUGCUUUGAAAGUACCACAGUUAUAUUUUAUCUUUUUAUUUAAUUUUUUAGUUUUUAUUUUUAAUUAAAAUAUAUGUCAAAAUUUAGUUUUUCAAUUUUAUAUCUUGAUAAGAACUUGAUGUGAAAUUUAAAUUCGAUCAAGCAUUUUGAAUUUGAAUUUUAUUUGAAUUAAUUUUUUAUAACAAUUAUUUUCCCAUCUCAACUAAAUAGCAUAGAUGGGAAUCAACUACUCCAAUUUGGAAUGUUAUUCUAAACCAAAUAUAUAAAGGGAAUUUAUUAUUCCGUUCUAUUCCAUUUCUAUUGGAAUAUACACUGCCGAAUGUGUGUGGCAAAUAUAUCAUUCCUAUUGGAUUUUAUCAUUCGGUUCUAUUCCAUUUCCCCUCCGUGCAAAUAUAUCAUUCCUAUAUAUAUAUAAUAUAUUAUAUAGGGCAUGUUUGGUUCGAAGUCGGAGUCGGAACUGGAAUCGGAAUCAAAAUAAGUUGGAUCGGAAUCGGAAUAAAUCAUUUUCAUUGUCAGUGUUUGGUUUCAGAUGGAUAUAAAAAACGUAAUCAAAUUAAUAUACUAACUUAUUUAUAAUAUAUAAUUUAAUUCAAAUUAAAAAUAAAUAUUAAAUUAUUACAUCAAAAUUUUGAAAUAAUGUCUAAUUUAAAUCUAAUUUUUUAAAAAAAAUUAAACUUUGAAGUUGAGUAGAUAAUUCAAAAUAUGAAAUUAAAUUUGAUUUAUUCAAAUUCAAACUUAAAUACAAUUUAAAUUUUAAUUUGAAUUCAUAAAUUUAAUUUAAGUUUGAAAUAAUUUGAAUAAAACUUAUAUAAAUUAAAAUUUAAUUAAAUUCAAAUUCAUAGUUAGAUUCGAAAUACUUAAUUAAAUUUUAAUUUUAAUUUAAGUUCAAAUUAAAAUUAAAAUUAAUAUUUAAUUUUUAAUUUUAACUCAUAUUUUAAUUAAAAAAGUUGAAAAAAACAAAUUUAACCAAAUAAAUAUCCAUUCGUCCGAUUCACUUUCAAUCGACUCCUAGACCGGAUUGAAAAAAAGGUGAUUGGGGGAUUCCCAUUCCAUCGGGAAUCAGAAUCGGAAUCGGAAUCGGACUCCGCGUACCAAAUACAACACAAACGAUUCAACCAUUCCCGAUUCCGAUUCAGGGUUAAAAAGAAGCGAGCCAACACGCCCCACUAGAAUACUUUUAAAACAGCCAAAGGGAUAGUGUUUGAGUUUUAACAUUGAUGGAGAGAUGUAGGCAUGAGAUGAUGGUGGUAGGGUGAUGUAGGUGGAAUAGUAUUUGAUCCAAGGGUAUUAGUAAUUAAGGAGUAAUCUAAGGGCUAGAAACUUAGAAGCACAGAGGAUUGGUGCUUCUAAAGUAUUCUAGCUCAAUUUAUAUAUAUAUUUUAUAUAUAUAUAUAUAUAAUAUAUAUAUAUAUAUAUAAGAGAGAGAGAGAGAGAGAGAGAGAGAGAGAGAGAAGUGAGAAGAGAGAGAGAGAAUAGGCUACUAUACUCUUAUGAGUAUUGGGCCUUCGUACUCAUAAGUUGUUUUCAAUAAUGGAGCUUCCGAAUCGACAAUCACUCCGUUAAAUAUGAUCUAAGUAUUUAAACUUGUAGAAAAUAAUUUCGUAAUUUUCAAAAUCAUAAUAAACCCAUUAAGAGGGUAUAAAAUGAACGGUCAAAAUCGAACAACGUCCUAAAAUGGAUGAUUGGAUCAUCAAUUUAAGAUCGCAGUUAUUGGUCUUUAUCUAGGUUGUGAAUAGAAUUUUCUAUCAAAAAUUUAACCUAUUCCAAUUUUUUUGCACCGUUAAACUAGCAAGUAUUCCAUACCGAUCGUAAAAAUUAUCAAUUUGUGAGAUUGAUGUAAGGUAAAUGAUGUCGAAAAAUUUAAAACUGAUUCUAGAACUUUAAAUGCUCUAGAAAUGUUUACGGUAUGGAAUUGUCGAUUCGGAAGCCUCUUCAUCCGUAAACGACUUAUGAGUACGAGAACGAUCGUACUCAUAAAAGUAUAAUAGCCGGACUAUUAUAUAUUAUAAUUAUAUAUAUAUAUAUAAUAUAGAAUGUGCGAUUAGGAUGAUAGUGUUCCCGAUUAAUUAAUAGUGGUCCCUAAGGUUGAGUAGGUGGUUGUUUACUAGUAUAGACUAUACGGAUGAAAUGAUCAAGGAUAGAAUCUAAGGUAGAAAACUAAUACUACAAAGCUUGGCUAUUUUAUCCGAUAGUAUAGUAGCCGGACUCUAUAUAUAUAUAUAUAGAAUUAGGCUGGAAUACUAUUAAUAGUAAAACGUUUUUUUUGCUAUCAAAUUUUUAACCCUUGGAUGAAAAAUUAUACGGUCAGGAUGAUAUUAGUCAGUUAGAGUUGAGUGGUCCCCCUAGGGUUGAGUGGUCCCCACUAGGUUAUAGUAUUUAAUCCAAUGAUUAGAAAUAAUGAAAAGAGUUGAUCCAAAGGCUAAAAAACUGAUAGCAACUAAUAGUAGCCCAGUCCAACUAUAUAUAUAUAUAUAUAUAUAUAUAUUUGAGCUUUAUGCUUUUAAAAGCACCAAAUUAUUAGUGCGUGUAGAUUUUCAAUAGAUUUUCAGCUUUUAAAUAAAGGAUCGUAGGGUUAAGAUAAUAAUAGUUCCCUAAAAUUGAGUGGAUGAUUGAUGGAAUAGCAUAAGGAAUAGACCUAACGGUGUAAAACUUACCAGCAUCAAAUACUUAAACGCCUUUAAAAGAAACAGAGCCAGACUAUAUAUAGAGAGAGAGUCCGGCUAGUAUACUCUUAUGAGUACGAUAGUCUUCGUACUCAUAAGUCGUUCUCGCUGAUAUCUGAAUCGACGAACCCAAAUACUAGUCUCUCAAACCAAACACCAACAUAGGGAUCGACCAUUCCAAUUUCCAUUCGAGCCUAAAAUCCUUCAAAUCAAACACGAGUUCAAAUCGCUUUCGCUAACAAACCAGUUCUCCAGUUAAUUACUCUCAGAGAUUUGCGAGCCUGAAUCAUGCUUACCAGUAGAGUAAAUGAUGCAGUUUCUCUUCAUAGAUAACACAGUACAAGACAAGUUUCUAAUCCCUGAAGUAUAUAAUUUAGAUCAAAUUAAUCAUGUCAUAUGUACUACCAAAAGAAGCAUCUUGAAUGUAAUUCCAUAAGCAAAAUACGGGCAGCGCGAAAAAACGACUGCCAUUUUGUUACAUACAAAUGAAUUAGCUCCCAUAGAUGAGUUCUACAGAACAAAAUUGCACAUUUCCACCUACAGAACCAAAAAAAAAAAGGGCGAAGCGAAAAGAACAACAUUAAAACAACAAUGAUAAUGUGCCAUCUCACUUCAGUAAGUGCUGAAAUAAAUCUUGGAAGCCAUUCAUAUGAUAUGAGGGCAUAUAUCCACAAAUGAUACAGUUUUUUAAGUUACGGCGAUACCACAGAUAAACAAAUGAAAACAUGAAUUUAAACAAAAAACAAAAAAGGAAAAGGGAAAGGGAGGAGGGAGGGGGCGCAUGGUACCUACUCGACAAAAGCCUGCUGUGUUCAUCCUGCGGCUUUGGCCGCAACCACGGCUUCCAAUCGUCUCCACGCAAGUUCUCGCUGCUCCUCGACUUCCUUGGCCUUGGCUUCUUUCUCGAGGAACUGCCUCUGGCACUCCUCGAACAACUCGCUGUCCAUGUCGAGGAACAUCUUGCGGACGUUUGCUGUUAGGCCGUGAACGGCUUGGUUCCAAUGGCUCCGGAUGUUCUUCUCGAGGGCUUCGAAUAUGAUGGGGAAUAUGACGCUACGGUUUUGGGCUAUUAGGCUCACGAUGUGGUCGUUGUUCCAUAGGAACAAGGCCCGUUCGGCAACCUUGGAAAAAAUGUACGAGACAAGUAAAAAAAAGGUUAUCUUAGAAAACAGAACAAUGAUGACAAAUGAUUGGUUGAGGAAAACACCAGCACAAGAUCCAGUUUAACAGAAAGGGAUGCAAAAUAAAGAACCAUCACGUGCUAUCCAACAAGAUGUCCAAAGUAGGGAGUGAACUUACCGUGAUGAAAAUAUAAGAACUGAAAAGAUUGACGGGCACUGAGACAUGCAACAAAUAUGAAAGUUGAAGUUUCAUUUCAACUCUAAAUUGUACUUUAUUUUUGGAGUUAUUAAAGUUCGACUUUGUAUUUUACACUAAUUUGAUUUGUUACAAAUUCAGUAAGUUUCCAACAGAUUACCAUCCAAUGGUAGGCAGUGGUUUGAUCAUAUAAUAAUAGCUGUGAAGUUUCGGAACAGGGAACACACUAUUUCUAAGGUUUUGGGGGGUUUUUCUUCCAUUUUUUUCAGUUUCUUUCAUGCACAAGACAACAUCAUGGCGAUAAUGAUUUUAAAAGCACCAGCACUGUAACAUGUUAUGCAAAACCUUUACUGAUGUUUCUGGCAUUCUAUGAAAAAAAGCGACAACUACAUGUAACUGAAAAUGUUUUUUAAAUUCAAUAUUACAAUGAUUGGCAAGGAUAAUUUACCAGCUAAUGAAAAGGCCGAAAUUAUUAAACUUUGAGAAGAACAGCUAUGCCAUUAUAUUUUUUUUCUUUUUCGAAAGAAGACUUGCCAUUAUUUCAUUGUCCACUGUAUUCCAUUUGACUGCAAAUUCAUAUUUGGAAUGUCACUGAAACCAUGGCUCUAACAAAGAUUAAUAAUGCCACUACACACUAAAGAUGCGGCAGUUGCAAUCCAUUUUCUCUUAAAAGAAUUUUAACGAAACAAAAAAGGGGAAUACUGACGUUCUAAAAGCUAACUAAUAAGGCACCAAUGGUGUGUAAACUAACAAAAAGAAUAAAUAGCUAGAGGCCAACAGGUAAGCAACACACUGAACAUAUAUAGGCAUAGUAAGGUAAAAAUCAAAGCCUGCAGGCUCCAGUGUACAGUGAAAGUAUAAUUGCACAUUAUUAGAUUACAUUUUGCAAGAAUUAUGAAUGUCCUAAAUAUACAUCAGUGACUGAAGGACACGAUGCAGUGGUUUGUUUCUGAUGAAAACUACAUGAUAAAAGUCAAUGGUGCCCUCUUGCAUGAGGUCUAUCCUACACGUUUUGUCCCACCAAAGAUCCUCAAGAAAUCUUGAGAGGCUUUGAUCUUUAAUCAUGAAAUUGGAUAGGUCUAACAUAAGCCUUCCUGAGCAUUUGAGCAUGGUUUAGAAGGUAUUUACGUUAACUUAUUGAAAGUAUUUGCGAGGAACAAAACACAUACAAGUUAACCUGCCUUAUCUGACAAAACGUCCACUCAAAAAACGCCACUUACAUAACUGAUAACAAUAUGACGUAAUUUUUUCCUAAAGUUAUGAAUCCUUUAGAUAGACCAAAAAACAAUUCUUACUAUCUUUAAUAAUCAUAAUAGUGCUGAAUACAGACAAUAUGUAAAAAACACACACUACAAGAUGACCAACCUAUACAGCAGACAAGAGGUGGCCCAAGUUUCAAAAUACGCACUACAAGACGACCAACCUAUACAAUGGACAAGAGAAGGCCUCAAAAGUAAGGAUUCAUGCUUCAGCGUGCUCUAUACCUAGCCAAUCAUUCAUUAUAAUGCACGGACUACAUUAGUGCCACUGUCAGAGCCGAUAUGUACUCACCAGGGAAGGUGCAUCACAUGCAUAUAGAUUUGCCUUACGUACAUUGUGACUAGCGGAAGCCAAUCAGGUAAUCAAGUUUAAUUAACACGUCUCUGAAUAACAGCCCUUCCUCUGUAAAAUGAGUUGAUGGUCUUUUGCAAGUCUAGAAAGCUGGAUUAACUGACAGAGUGGACCGUCAACCAGAACUUUUAUUGAAUCAGCCUAAUAUUUAAAACUCUCUUAAGAAUUACAUUUUCAUGAGGGAACUAAACUUGUGUCCGUUGACUGUUGUUCUAAGAGAUAUAUUGUGUAACGUUAAAUAUUGUUGUAGGGAUCUUUCCUUCCCUUCCUUACCCCUGUCAUAACCAUGAUCACCAAUGCCUGUUGGAAAACAAUUUUUCUAUGACAAGAGGAAGUCAUCCGAAACUGUUGGGCUCCUCUCCGGCUUAGGGAAGACAUUACUAAUAGGAGAAUCCAACAGGAUAACUGUUGAAGUGCCAAUCACCAUGCCACUCUCCUCUGUAAGGAAGAGCCCAUCAAAAACACUAGUGGUGUAUACUUACUCAUAUGUGGGUUCAGGUUUCUUCUACAUCCAACAAUCCCAAAACUACACAACUACAUAAAGGUCCAAAAUAGGAUUUAUUAAUAUCAAAAAGCUAAAGUUCAAAGAGCAAUUACCCAACAAUAAGGAUCUAAGAAAAUAAAACCGCAGAUACUGUGCAGAAAUACUGACACUUCCAUGCACUAAAGGGUGUGAUACAUAUCUCAAAAAGUGGGAAGUGUGCAUGUUUUUUUGACAAAAUAACGAAAACAUUGAAUAAUUCAGUAGCUUGUACAACAUAUAAACAACUAGACUAAGAAGAUCUUACAAAUCAUCUCUUUAUAGUUCAACAAAUCAAUUUUCCACUCGACAGUUCAAACUAUUGCUAACAAUAUAUGAAAUGAUUAAGCUAAAAAUUUAUACAGAAUAACAUAGAAAACACACUUAUGUUAAGAUAACAUAUAACAGUCUUGCAUGGAUGACUCUUUAAAUAUGAUCAUGCAAAACGAGCCUGUCAUAAGUAGUGAUUUGAAUAUUGAACUAUGGACACCAAAUUUGCACUUGGUCUCCAUUGGGCCUAGGGCAUAAGAGCACCUAGCAACUGGCUGCAUAACCUAAAGCCGAAAGUGAUACCAUAUGGUAGUUGAUAACUUUUUAUUCUUUGUCACACACCAAUUUUGCAAUUCAUUUCGAGAAGAACUGAAAAAUGAGGAAACAAGGCCAUCUUUACGUGUUGCUACCUUCUCUAACAAAUUCUCAUGAUGAUGUUCAUGGCAUUCCCCUCAAUCUAUCACAAAUUCCUUAAAGAGCAAACAGAUCAAUCUUGUCAGUCCAUUGCAAUAUGCCGAUCCUUCAUAGCCACAUGCAUGACAUUCCGUCAACUUAAUAACGGCAACAAGUACAACAAAAGUCUAUGUUUUCACAUUUUGAAGUAUCUAUCCUACAAAACGAUAUCCUAGUAGAAGCUUCCUAGAGAUCAUAACUUUGCCUCAAAUGAAAAUUAUUGAAUCAUUAGAUUCAAGAAGAUCUCCUUUUUGCCCCAAAAAUUAUGAAAAUAGAGACCUAUAUGUCUCCAUCUAAUUUUACUAUUUUCUUUUCCAUCCUCUAAACGACCUUACAGCUAUCAGCAUUGUAAUCAAUUAAUUUUCCCUCCUAAAACCAGCAAGAUAUUUGAUAAAGAUUGUCACUUCAACCUUCCCAUACUCUCUCCCAGAUCAUCCUCUAUAAUGUAUUCUUAGUCUCAGAUCUUAAAUUUGAAGCUCUUAAUUCUCAUAGAACUUGCGUUAUUCCGCUACAAAUUCAAAGCAGCAAUUGCAAAUUCACGUGCAACAGAUCUUAAAUCACCUUUAUCUUGAAGGGAUCUUAAAUCACCUUUAUCUUGAAGGAAUAUUUUGUUUGGGUUCACCUCUGUGGAAGUAUCAUCAAUUUUAAGCCGGAAAUACUAACACUAGCUAGCUAAUAGGAAGGAGAUCUUAGACAAACCAAACAUGCAAACUUACAACUAAGGUGCUUUAAAGAAAGAUUGGGAGGAGAAUAAAUGCUUCACUCGUAUGGAAAUAACAAACAUUAAUUGUACUGGGUACGGUUGGAAUUCUAUGCAUGGUUUAGCAAUAUGAGGGACAUUAAGCUCAAAAAGAAAGGGUUGGAAAAAAAAAAAAAAAGAAAAAAAAGAAAAAAAACAGUGUUGUGUCUUCGAUUAAAUUCUUUAAAUAAUUCGUUCCCAAAAUUUUGCCACCACAAGGAAAUUAAUGUUUAAUUUUGUAAUCUUGGAUUUCUUUUUUCCUUUGUUUUUGUUUUUGUUUUUGUUUUUGUUUUUAAUAAGAUAGACUUUGGCUUUUGUGAUUUAUUUGGACAUAUAAAUGGGGGGUAGUUUUCUUAGUUGUAUUAAUUUAACUGGUUGUAAUAAAAUAGUAAAAAAUUAGUAAGUGGUGUUAAUAAGGGGCCCUAAUCAACAACUCAUUGGAACUGGACACACACAUAUAUAUAUAUAUGAGCCCAUAUAAUGCCCAUGAAUUGUUUUCUUUUUUUUUAAAUUAAAAACAAUUUUGCUCCUUUUUGGCCCAUGUUAAUUUGGUCCAGCUUGUUUAAUCCUUCUUCCUCCUCCUCACUGGGAUUUCUUUUUUUAUUGGAAUGAUAAAUAAAUUUAUUUUAUUAAUAAUAAUAAAUUUUUUUCUUUACUUUUUUGCAAAAUAGGCUUGCUUUUUUUAAUAAAUUAUCUUCUUUUUUUCUCAGGAGCUGUACGCUUAUAUCUUGCUUUGUUUCGACAAAUUUUAAUUGCACUAUAAUUAUUUAUAGAGUGUAUGGGUAGCGUUAUUGUUUUAUUUUUAGCUCAUUUUCUUACUUUCUAAUAGCGAUAUUAAUAAGACGUAAACUUUUAUUAAGAAAAGUGUAGGAUAGAUAAAAAAAUUUUGCUCCAAUUUUUUACAACAGGAUUAAUAAUUAGGAACCAUACCAAGAUGUACUAAAUAUAACAAGUAUUUGUAUAUUAGAAUUAACCAAGUUCAUUAGGCAAAGCCCUAAUCAUGGGAUGCACUAAGCACAUAUUACUUGGUACUUACUUUACUCCAAUGUAAUACUCUAAACCAACUAAUUAAUGAUUUUGGCACUUUAUGAGUGUGACUGAGACAAAGUUGUGAUUUUGUUUUAUCCAUUUAUUGAUUGAUACCACAUGACUCAUUUCUUCUUUGAGUGGAUUGAAGGAGAAGGGAGAUGUCCUCAUCAAGGAGGUUUCAUGAUGUUGAAUCGUUUUUGGAUAAUGUGAAUUGUUAUGAUUAUAAAUUUGUAAUCCCAUGCAAAGUACAAAGAUAAAUUAGCCUACUUUAUUAUGUAUUAAUUCAUUAUUAUCACCGACCGUCCCUAUAGCAAGCGGUAAAGGGUUUAAUGGUUAGCAUCCGAGGUCCUAAGUUUGAAUCCUGAUUGAUUCACAUUUCCAGCUAAGUUUAUUUCUAAACGAAAUAAACAAAGCGGAUAGUGUGCUACCUAUCUCUCUCAAAAAAAAAAAAAAAUUCAUUAUUAUCAAUUAUCAACCAAAGAUGAGAGACAAUCAACUUGCGACGACGAAGACGUGAAGGUAAAAUAUUGAUCUAAUCAUUUAAAAGCAAAAGGUUCAAUUUUACGGUCUAUAUUUCUGUUGUUUCGAAAAGCUGCUACUAAAAAAAUUUCUUAGGAUCGGCUUGAUCUAGCAGUACGACGAUAAUAUUUUUCAAUCAUGCCGCGAUUUUUACAAACGGGACUAAAAAAAAUAUAAGGCUAAGUGAUCAUGCGAGACUAUCAUAUUAGAAUUUUCUAUUCUGGUAUCAUAUAAAAAAACUAUUAUUCUUCAAAAGGUUAAAUUACUGAAAAAUAAUAUUUAUUUGUUAUAUAUUUAACACACAAGAUGUCCUACCAAUUGUUGGUUUGCAUCUGACCAAUGGAUGGAAGCUAAAGCAUUUCCUUUAUUAAAAAAAAAUUAUUAUCAUUAAAGCAAGGGAAGAAAAGGAAGAAUGGGAGAGUUACAAAUGAAGGUAAUUAACCAUUAUUUAAGUGCUAAGUGUAGAAGCCACUCAUUUAUGUUAUGUAGAUAUGGAGGAAUCUAUAAUAAUUGGGACUAGAAUAGAAAUGGUAAGUCACAGUUGAUUAUCUAAGAAAUAAAGAGAGCAAUUGUGUAGUCAAAUGAGAAGAAGGGCCGACAAUCACUUUUCAAUCCAAAAACGCAUUUUAAAAGUUAGGCUAAACACCCCCGAAGAGAGAAGUGACUGGGAACAGGAGCAGGAACAAUGAGUACAGCUAGGGAUGCAAACGGAUUCGGGUUGGUGGAGCUCCCACCCCGAUUCGCUCCGAAUUAGGCGGUAAACGAAAAGAAAUAAACAGAUUCGAGGCAGGAAACUGGGUUAUUUUUAUGAUCCGAGACAAAUUCAGGACAGAAAAUGAAAAAAAUUUUGACCCACUCCUAAUCCGCCUCAAAAACUAUUUAUAUUUUAAAAAAAUAUUCCUAAAAAAUAAUAUAUUUAUAAGAAAGUUCAAAAUACACAUAAAUUGGUGUUCUCAGCUUUCUCAUGUAUUUGAAACUUUUGAAUUUUGCUUCGGAUUGUGAUUAAUAUUUUUAAUUUUUAUAAUUAAUGUUGUUAAUUUUAUACAUAGCUUAGUAACAUUAUUUAUUAUUAUUAAAAAAUAUUAAUUUAUAUUUUAUAAAAUAUUAAUAAUAUUAUAAUUUUUUAAAAAUAUUAAUUGGCGGGGGAUUGGGGGCGCCGGUAGGAGGUGGAUUAUUAGUCUGGGUGGAUUAUAGAAUAUAUUUUUUAAUCGAUCACAAAUUAGGGAUGGGAGGCGGGGCGGGGCGGGGCGGGGCGGCCGCCUCCAAAUCCACCCCGUUUGCAUUCCUAAGUACAGCUUCAACACUUAAAAAAAAAAGGAAAACUUCAAAUACCUUCUCACUUUAGUACCCUAUGGUUUAAAGUGUAUCAAGCUAGUACUCUGUGGUUUUACACUUUUUUACUUUAGUACUCUGUGAUUUAAAGUGUAUCAAGUUAGUACCCUGUGGUUUCACACUUUAUCACUUUAGUACCCUAUGGUUUAAAAACCAUAGGGUACUAACUUGAUAAAAAAAUAAAACCACAGGGUACAAACUUGAUACAAAAAUAAAACCACAGAGUACUAACUUAAUACACUUUAAACCACAGGGUACUAAAGUGAUAAAGUGAGAAAUCACAGAAUACUAACUUGAUACACUUUAAACUACAAAGUACUAAAAUAAAAAAAUGCGAAACCACAUAGGAGAUUUGAAGUUUUCUCAAAAAAAAAAAAAAAUAAAGGGCAAGUACACUAGCAUGAAAAUAGUUUUACUGUCGUUUUUGGGAGGGGGAGGGGGCUGGUAUCUUCUUUACAAAUAAAUUUAUGAACUUUUAAUUUUGACAAUUACAUUCUUAAUUUUUAUCAAAUAAUUCAAUACAACCCUCAUCUCAGAAGUCGCGUACAUAAUUCUGUGAAACCCUAUAAUAAAAAAUUUAUUUUCUCUUCCAAUUUUGAUAACAAAGUAAAGAAUAAGUAAUACCACACUCUAAUAAAUUUUUUUUUUACAUGUUAGAAUAUAAAAAAGGGUACAUUUCAAAUACCACCUCUGUGAUUUUAUAUUUUCUCACUUUAUUAUCUUAUAGUUCAAAGUGUAUCAAUUUAGUACUAUGUGGUUUCAUUUUUCUCUUUUCGUCAGAUUUUUUCAUUAAAUCGACGAAGUUAAACUUAAAAGAUAUUAAGUGAAUAUUUGAUAAAUAUAGGUGGGGUAUCUGAAGUUUUUUGUAUAUAAUUUAACGAAAUGUUAACAGAGAAGCUAAUAAAAAGAGAAAAAUAAAACCAUAGAAUAUUAAAUUAAUACACUUUAAACCACAAGGGUGGUAUUUGAAGUUUAUCCUUUAAAAAAUAAAUUUGCUUGCAUUUUAAAGUUUUAUAGAACUAUAUGCAAAUGCACACAACCAAAAUGAGUACAUAAUUAGCAACUUUAAUUGAGAAGAGGAGCCUAUUGAACUAGGUGAUAAAGUUUAAAAAAUAUAAUUACCAAAAUUGAAAGUUCAUUAUUCAUAUGCUUAUUUUGGAUUUCAUAUCCAAGCCCCAAAAGUUAUUUAAUCCACCCAACUAACAACAAGAUGAGUAGUAAUUGGGCCUCCAUAAUCAAAAUUGGGCUUCAAUUGACUUAAUUGGGCUUUUUAAUCAGCGUUGAACUAUUUCUACUUCCACCCUUUGAAUUAAGAAAUUUAUUAAACUUAGCAACUAUUCAUCGUUUAUUAUUUUCUUUUUUUUGUAAAAAAUAAACCCAUACGUUGUUUAAACAGUUGAAGUCAGAAAAGUUGACAGCACGGCUGAUUAUACUUUAAUAAAAUUUUCAAUUAAAAUAAAUCAACUUAAACCAAAAAAUAAAAAUAAAAAAAAAAUCAGGGUUCCAUUUUACGGUCCAGUGUAAAGAGGACACCAGGGAAAAAAAAAUAUAAAAAAAAAAAUCCUUGAAAAUAAAAUUGCUAGAGGACCAACUUGUAUGUACUAGGACAGGCCUCUCAUUCCUCAAAAAGGGUUUACAGAUCUUCCGCUGCAAAAUCGAUCAGAAAGCGAGCUUCUGAUUCCUAACAAAAAUACAACUCGAGUUUCAAAUGCAGAAGAAACAAGAAUAGUUCAUCAUUAACAAACAAAGUAAAGCAUAUACUCGUAGAUAUUAAAAAGCAAAAAUAUUAGAAAAUGAGGGAGAAAAAGAAUAAGAAAUACAAUAGCUCUGAAUCUGAAGAGAGAGAUUCAUUAAAACAGCUGCAUGAUAAAGCCUUCUUAAGUUCUAAAUAUAUAUCUACAUGAAAACCAUAAACAUCCCAAUAUUAGUAAACUGCCAACACAGAAUCUUGAGGUUACAGAAAAUUUGGCCAAAGUAACUAAAUACCAACAGCAACUACCACCCUCCUUUGCUACUGCUUCCUCCCUUAGCCCCGCCCCAGGCCCCGGCCGCUUUAUCCCAGCAGCUUCCCUGAUCCGCACCGCCGCCUUCGGCUUCUUUGGGUUUCUCCCGCGAGCCCCCUCCCGACAUAGCUCCAACAUUUCCGGGCGAGCUUUUCUCCCACCCGGCGCUUUGAUCACCAGAAGCUCUUCCACUUCCAGUCGAAUUUUUCUCCCAGCCAGAACUCUCAACUCCAGAAGCUCUCCCGGUGUUCCAGCUGUUCUUCUCUUCAGUGUUGUUAUUCCAACUAGACGGUGCGUUGUUCCCCUUGAUUUCUGUAUCAUCCUUUCCCCAGUUAGAGCUCUGCUUGCCCCAUGCUGAAGCGCUUUCUCCAGCAGCCGGUUUUCCCCGACUCCAAUCGUUGUUCCCUUGUUGAUCACUACUGUUAACGGCAUCCGAUUUGCCCCAGCUAGAUCCUUGACUAUUCUGGGAAGUUCGAUCACCGAAGUUUCCUCGUCCGCCCCUCCAACUGUUAUCCUGAUUUCUACCGCCCCUCCAACUGUUAUCCUGAUUUCUACCUCUAUUUGCUCCAUAUCGACCCCUUCCUCUUUCCCCGCUAGUUCCUCUACCGCUGUCAGAAUCUCUUCGCUGAUUCCAAUUGCUACUUCCAUUGUUUUCAUCUCUGUUCCAACUAGAUCGGUGAUCGUUCCCGCGAUCUGCUGGUUUGUUCCAGUCGUUGUCACGAGAUCGAUAACCACCUUCUCCAGAAUAGCGUCCUCUUCCUCUUCCACCACCAAACCCACCAAAUCCACGACCCUCAGAAUUUCUUGGUUUAUCCCAGGUGGAUUCAUUGCCUCCAUCAAAUGAAGAACAUUUACUCCAGCUGUCUGUUGGAGUUGCACCUUUAUCUUUUGUCUUCUCCCAGUUAUUCCAUUGUGACUCUGAUUGGCUCCUUUGUGAAGCUGCUGACUCCCAUUUGCUUCCGCUGUUUAAGCUAGUAUCUUGCUCUUUAUUCCAAGUUGAACUAUUUCCAACAUUGGUUUCGGUGGUGAUGUUCUCUUGAGGCUUUGAAGCUUUGCCCCAAGCAUCUUCUUCUUCACUUCCCAACGUCGACUUCCUCCCUUUAGCAUUCCACGCAUCUGAUUUAUCAUUGGCUGCAGGAUCACUGCUUGCAUGCUUUGUUUUCUCCAACAAAUCAAAGUUGGUGCCACUUUUGGUAGAAGCUUUGUUCCAUCCCGCAUCAAAAGAAUCGUUUCCAGCUUUAGAAGUCACCUUACUAGCCCAAGGAUCAGCUUCACAUUCUUGACCUGCUUGAAAACGCAAGCAAUCGGCUUCUCAAAAUCCAUUCACAAGGAAUACAAGAUAAAGAACAAAUAACAAAUGCACAAAACGGCACAUCAACAAAAGACCUGCAACACUAUUUCGAUUCCCAAAUAUCCCAAAAAGAAUACCUAUUCAACAAAACAUACAAAUAGACUAUACUGUUGUAAUAUAACACUUACCUCCAGCAUCCUCAGCAGCAAAUGUUUUCCCAGAGAAGCCACUUGAUUGCUUGUCCUGCAAAGAAUUUGAACUAUUCCAUCCACUUGUAGGUACAGAUGCAUCAGCUGAUUUGUUUUCAGAUGAGAACUUAUCCCAACUAGAAGAUUUCGACGCAUUCCACUUAUCUCCACCACCAUCUUCACUUCUCUUGGACUGCCCAAGAUUCCACUUAGAAUCCGAAGAAGUCCAAUUGGUGUCUGUGUCAUCCUUCUUCGGCUCCGACAAGCUUUUAGCACCCCAACUCUUCCCUGCCUCAUUAGCAGCAUCUUUAUCCUGAAUAAAAUUAUCUGUUGGUUUUUCAUUUCGACGAAAGCUACUAGAUUUAUCCCAGCCAGCACCUUGAUCACUAGCCCAACUAGAAGGAGCUUUAGAAUAAGUUCCUUCUCCGGAACUUUGCCGUUCAUUCCUGCAAUCAGAGGAGUCACCUCUCCCGCGACCACGGCCAAAGCCACCACCACGACCUCCACCGCGACCAAAAGGUCUAUAGUCUACAGAAUUGUCCCUGGAAUCCCCAAAUUCAUUGUUAUCACAACCUCUUCCUCUUCCUCCAUAUCGACCUCCUCUAUUCCAGCUAGACCCCUUAGAUCCAUCAAAAUCCCCUUUCCUGUUCCAAUUUCUCUCCUCAUGUUUUUCUCCACCAGCACCAUUGUUUCCAUAGUUACCACUUGGUUUGUUCCAGCCACCCUGUUUAUCACUUUUGGCCCAAUCCCCUCCAUCGAAACUCUUUGGUUUGUUCCAGCUAUCUGUUUGGUUAUCUCUGUCAGCUUUGUCCUCUCCUUUGUUCCAGUUCGACAUAGAAUCACCACCAAAAGAUUUUGGCUUAUACCAGUUGUCAUUUGGAUUUUGAUUAGACACUCCUGCUUUAUUCCAAUUGCCACUUUCAGUUUCAGUUUUCUCCUUUGCUGCUUUAUCCCAGCUGCUGGUGUUGCCUCCAGCUGCUGAUGAUUGGGUUGAUUUAGCAGCAGCAUCCCAACCACCACUUUGGUUUCCUUUGAAUGCACCAUCUUUUUCUUGACUUUGGCUUGAUCCCCAAUUUUGACUUUCAUUACCACUCUUGCUUUGGUUCGUUGCAGCUCUGCCCCAAGGAUCAUCUUCAUUCAUCUCUAUUCCCUUUCCUUUAGCUUUGCCCCAAGUAUCAUCGUCGUUUAUCACGAUUCCUUUCCCCGUAGCUUUGCCCCAAGAAUCGUCCUCCUUUAUCACUAUACCUUUUCCCUUAGCUUUGUCCCAAGAAUCGUCCUCAUUUAUCACUAUUCCUUUUCCCUUAGCUUUACCCCAAGUAUCACCAUCAUCCAUCGCAAUUGCUUUGCCCUUAACAUCCCAAGAAUCUGUUUUGCUGGUAACAGCCUCAGAUUUUGUCCAAUUAUUUGGUUCGUUCCAGCUAGAACCCUUCCCUUUGUCCUUAUCGUUUGAUGCUUUAUCCCAGGCAUUGUCUCCACCAGUUUUUGAAUUAUCCAAGUUGCUUAUUUUGUUGCCCGUGCCCCAGCUUCCUCCAGAAUCACUUGCCAGCGUUUUUUCUUUCUCCCAUCCACCGGCGUCAGAAGUGCUUUUUUGAGAACCUUUGUUACUCCAAUCAUUUGAGUUAUUUUGCCAAGUAUCAGCUUGACCACUGGCGGCAUUAGUUGUUGAUUUAUCCCAUGAUGAAUUUUGAUCUCCGCUAGGGGCAGCUGCAUUAGCCCAGGUGUCUGCUGAUUGAUCAGAUUUCACCUUGCUACCCCAUGGGUCGACGUCAUCUGAUGAUAGCAAGCAAAAAUGUAUAAUUGCAACACAAGAUAACAUGUUAAUGAAUUAUAUCAAGAACUGACAUCCAUUAUUACCCAAGAAAGCACAGUUUGAUAUAGUUAUAUUCUACCAAAACAUUCUACAAAAGAAAAACUAAUUUAUUAAGCAAGCAAUAGAUCGAGAACUCACCUUUUUCACACAUAUCAAGGCUAAAGAUAACUUGUGAUUAAGAGGACAGCAAGUCAGCAACAAUAUUCAAGAUAAGGGUCAAGACAGGAAUGUCAAGGGUGGAGAGAAAUUUUCCACCAUCUAUAUACCCCCAAAUGCUCAGUGGGAACAAAUUCUAUUGGGAAAGUGAUUUUUCAUCAUUCAUGUUCCCCAAUUUUAAGGCAACAAAUGAAAGCGAUUAUCCAUCUCAAAAAUUAGAUUACCAUAUAAUGAGAACCCCCGAUCCCUCCAUCUAUUUAGUAAUAUUCUUUUUAGGUUUCUUUGACACCAAAGUUUGUAGAUAGCAUAUUUCACAGGUUAUCCUGCUUCAGUGCUAAAACAGGUAAUGUAUCCUUCUCCAAAAUUCUACAUAACUUGACGUCGUUUAGGUAGAGAGAAAAUGAUGGCAUUUAUGAUCUUCCACCCCUAAUCAUCAUGCUGUAAUGGACUUCUCAAAAGAUGAAGACUGGCUAUCGACUAUCAGCAAUUUUUUUUCAGCAAUCUAAAGUUGCUUCCUGGUUGGAUAAAGUAGGAGCACAAGUGCAUCAUUUAUGCUCAGAUUAGCUAGCCACCAGUUUGACCCAAAACUAGCCUUUUUUAUAUCACUCUCAAAUUGAUAAACACCAUUGGGCUAAUAUUCUAAAAAGCCAAAUUUCCACCACUUUUUCAGUCCUCUUUCAACUGCAAAUAGAACAAGGCCCAUUUUACUGAAAACCAUAUCUUGCCAAUAAACUACGGAUACAGUUUUAUCAUGUCCAUGUACGUUUCAGGAAUGAACAUGACUUGGUCAAAAUUUCAAGAGUACAAAAUAAGUACUGGCAUACGAGAACUUUAUGACUAAUUCCAUUUUUGUUGACUCAUUCGGUCUCCAUUGGCAAAGAAGGCCUGAUAAAAUGGGAAAGAAAAACACUUUCACAUCGUUGAGAAGAUUAUACAAUCAGGCAUUAUAAACAACUAUUCACAAUAAUACAAGGAAAAUACAUUCAAACUUGACAUAGUAGUAUCCAAACCAUCAUGAAACUAUAGGAAAAUGGCACAUCUGCUAAUUCAUAAUGUGACUGUUAAAAAUGAUACCUGUUUUAUUGUCAGUAUUGCCAGCAGCUGAUAGCUUGGAGGCAGAAAAUGGUUGCCAACCGUCACUGCAACAUAGUGAAUGGUGAAGUCAGCAUAAGUGAAACCGCCUAUAUAUUUUGAUGCAUAUCUAAUUGUCACUAUUCAUCUUACUUAAUAAGAGAAACAGGAGCAAUUGAUCUACCGAAUUAGUGAAGCUAUUUCUCAAAACACAAAGAGCAUAACACAGCUUUAUAAGACAACUGUCUUCAUGCACGAAAUGUAAAGAGAUACAUAGGAACUAACUCAUUUUGCAUCAUGUAUUCCCAAAUCAAAGAAUUGCAUAAUGCUAUUUAUCACUAGACCUCCGUGUAAACCCUUUUCUGCAACUUUGUUAUGAUUUGCCGUUGCAUUACAUUGAACAAAAUAGAAAACAGAAUUUCUUCGGGUGGCAACAAGAAGAAUGAAGCAAUAACUAACAAAAAAACUGACUGAUAAUUUUCGUAAAGGUUGGAAAAAUAUGCAUAAACAACAAAAGCUAAUGCAUAGAAAGAGAGAAUUAAAACUAAUUCUGAUAGAAAACAAGCCAACCUGCCAAAUGAUGGUAAUGGACUAUCCCAUGAACUUCUACCAGGUUGUGAUUCUGUUCCAUCAGCAGAGAAUGGACCUACAAAUGUAAAGGAGACGGGGGAAUUGAAAACAUCAAAUUACUGAUCCAUUGAACUCAAAUCUUCAACCUAAACAUUAAAGACAAAGGAGACACAGACAGUUCAAAUCCAAAAUAACUUGAUAUAGAGAAAGACAAAUGCAAGAGAUUGAAAUUCAUCACUAUAUUAUAGUCCUUGAAAACGCUUCUAUAGACCCAAAAAAGGAUGCUCACUAGCAAUCGACGGGGCUUUGUAUCCCUUGAAUUCAGCCUAAUAUAUAGAGAGUGAUGAAAGUUCCCAACAAAAGAACAAAAAUGUAUGAGUCUACCUAUCGAUGGCAUUUCUUGAGUUCCAAACAGAUCAGAUGCUGCACCAGUUGAAUCAUCCCUUUUGAACACAAACAGCAGGAACAGUAGUAAAAGUAUAAGAAUAAAGUAGGAAGACAAACAAAGACACAUUUGCAUAACAUAAGAACAAUAUUGCACAAAAGGAAACCAAACAAACAAUAUACAAAUUACCUUUUUCUGGUUGGAACAGAAAGAAACUUGGCAUCAACUGCAUAAGCAAAAGAAAGAACUUGUUUUAAAGGAAGUUAUAGUACAGUAUGCCAAAUAUGUUUUAAGUCAACGAACCUGUAAUAAUUUUCACUAAAGAAUCCAGCUUUACUGUCACCUCGGAGCGAAAGAUGCGCACAACACGACAGAGGUAACCUUUUAAAGGGCCUUUACAUAUCCUCAAUGUCUGCCCAAUGGAGAAGAGGGAAUCUCUAUCAUAUUGGCGACGCCUACCAGCUGCACCAUCAAGUGAAUUAGGAUAAUCACAAUCGCCUUCCAUAGCACUAGAGGUAUAAAGUGAUCAGACAUACCACCAGAAGAACUAUCUUGAUUCUCGAAUGAUAUGGUAGGCGGCUCUGAAAAUAGAGAAGCUGACCCAUCUCCCUGCUAUAUAUAUAUAUAUAUAUAUAUAUAUAUAUAUAUAUAUAUAUAUAUAUAUAUAUAUAUAUAUAUAUAUAUAUANNNNNNNNNNNNNNNNNNNNNNNNNNNNNNNNNNNNNNNNNNNNNNNNNNNNNNNNNNNNNNNNNNNNNNNNNNNNNNNNNNNNNNNNNNNNNNNNNNNNNNNNNNNNNNNNNNNNNNNNNNNNNNNNNNNNNNNNNNNNNNNNNNNNNNNNNNNNNNNNNNNNNNNNNNNNNNNNNNNNNNNNNNNNNNNNNNNNNNNNNNNNNNNNNNNNNNNNNNNNNNNNNNNNNNNNNNNNNNNNNNNNNNNNNNNNNNNNNNNNNNNNNNNNNNNNNNNNNNNNNNNNNNNNNNNNNNNNNNNNNNNNNNNNNNNNNNNNNNNNNNNNNNNNNNNNNNNNNNNNNNNNNNNNNNNNNNNNNNNNNNNNNNNNNNNNNNNNNNNNNNNNNNNNNNNNNNNNNNNNNNNNNNNNNNNNNNNNNNNNNNNNNNNNNNNNNNNNNNNNNNNNNNNNNNNNNNNNNNNNNNNNNNNNNNNNNNNNNNNNNNNNNNNNNNNNNNNNNNNNNNNNNNNNNNNNNNNNNNNNNNNNNNNNNNNNNNNNNNNNNNNNNNNNNNNNNNNNNNNNNNNNNNNNNNNNNNNNNNNNNNNNNNNNNNNNNNNNNNNNNNNNNNNNNNNNNNNNNNNNNNNNNNNNNNNNNNNNNNNNNNNNNNNNNNNNNNNNNNNNNNNNNNNNNNNNNNNNNNNNNNNNNNNNNNNNNNNNNNNNNNNNNNNNNNNNNNNNNNNNNNNNNNNNNNNNNNNNNNNNNNNNNNNNNNNNNNNNNNNNNNNNNNNNNNNNNNNNNNNNNNNNNNNNNNNNNNNNNNNNNNNNNNNNNNNNNNNNNNNNNNNNNNNNNNNNNNNNNNNNNNNNNNNNNNNNNNNNNNNNNNNNNNNNNNNNNNNNNNNNNNNNNNNNNNNNNNNNNNNNNNNNNNNNNNNNNNNNNNNNNNNNNNNNNNNNNNNNNNNNNNNNNNNNNNNNNNNNNNNNNNNNNNNNNNNNNNNNNNNNNNNNNNNNNNNNNNNNNNNNNNNNNNNNNNNNNNNNNNNNNNNNNNNNNNNNNNNNNNNNNNNNNNNNNUAAAUUUAUAUAUAUAUAUAUAUAUAUAUAUAUAUAUAUAUAUAUAUAAACAAAGAGUUAGACAACAAGGUUAUAAACAGGAGAAUCAUUAUCAAGCAAUAUAUCGUCCACAUAAAUACCAAAUUGUCAUCAAAAGAAUUCACUGAUUCCCUUGACUUCUUGAUUUUCUCACAUGACUCAGACUUGGCACAGAAGAACCCACUAUUCUCAGUCUCAUUUUCAUCAUAGAUAAAUAUUGAGCCCCUGUACAAGUGCUUCACAAUGCCUUGUCUACCCUGCCAAAAUGAUUCAACAAGAACACAUCAACACCAAAGUGGAACUCAGUAAUUUAUAACAGUCAAGAGAAAUUUGCUAAAACAAUUCAUAACUUAAUGCAAGAAAUCAUAAAACCAAUCGAUGGGCAGUAUUCUCCAUAUAAAUAACCAGUGUUAACAAAUGGUAGCAUUCUUUAAAGUAUACUGCUUCAUCUAAAGGACAUGUCUCUACCUCUAAGGAUCCCUCCAGAACCUUGACAAUGUCAUUAACAGAUAUGGUCUUCGAGUGCCGGUCUAAAGCAGUGAACAUUUUAUCAACACAACCACUCUUAAUAUCCUGCUUCCUAAGUGUCACAACGGCCGAUCCUUCAGUGCCGCCUUUUAGUAUCUGAAAGAAUAUAUUUAAUAUACAAGAUUUAGCUACAAAGGAAACUAUAAUAAGAGAAAAAGGUUAAAAUGAAUGCAGUUACCCGGACUCCGUCUUUCUCCACAGUAACAAUAACACCAAAGUCCUUUUGUCUGUUAAUCCAAAAGAGCAAAGAGCAAACAACAGAGGUUAGUUUUAUCAACAUUACAGGGUUUAGUUUUGUCAAUUAUAGAGCAUACUAAACAGAUGAAGUAACAGAAACAAACCCGAAUAACACGAGAUCAUGAAGUUUGUACUCAUUCUUCCUAGAAGUAGUUGCAACAUUAUCUGAGUCGUCAGUCAACCGUACUUUCUUACGACCACUAUAAACACUUGAAACCCAAUCUAAGUCCUCGCUGUCAUCCUUAUUCACGUUAGAGAACUUCAGAAGUUCAGAUUCAGAUGGCUGUACUCCCCAGAAAACAACUGAUCCAUUUGAAACCCAUUUGUACAUGUAACCAUCUUUCAACAUCAUACCAUCAAGUACUUCGAAAACUUCACCACUUUGACGAUCACGUCUCGUUUCAAUAAGGGGUCUGAACUCACUGAGGAAAGAAAUAGGAUCGCGAGUAUUCAGAGUUAAAACACUAUAGUAUUGAAGUGAAACUGCAGAACAAAACAAGCUAUGGAAUGAUGGAAAAUUUUACUCUAGUUCAUGCGAGCUAAUAAGACGUGGAGCAGGAACUGCAGCAUGCUUCAAAGAUAGUCCACCACCCUGCAUAUAAUUCAAAAUAGUUGACGAUAAGCAACAUGCAAGACUCUGCACAUAUACGGAGGGAACUUGAGCUUCAAUCUCUCACUCAUAACAUGAAAAAAGGCAACCCAACAUAUCUGGAGCCUGGUGAUUGGAGCAACAAUACAUAUAUACUCUAUUAGGAUCUAAAUAUGCUUGCCUGCAUACUCUACUAGCAUCUGCAUGUGCUUGUCAUGUCAUAUCUAGUGAAAACAGACAAAACAAUCAGAACGGUAAAGUAGCUGAUGCCAAUUCUGGAGAGUAUCUCCCGUGAGAUCGCUUCAAGGACCAAGUAUAACUUAGAAAGAAAAAGUAAGAAGGAUGGUGAAAUAAAUAGAAAAAGGACUAUAUCUAUACAAUUGAUUAAUUUGUUAUGAAACUAGUUUUAACUAACCCACCAUCCGCAUCACAUAUAACAAGAAAAGAAUAAACAAUAGAAAAUAAGAGAUUGAUCUUUACAAAUUUUUUUGAAAUAGCUUGCAGAUCAAUUCUAGGAAUCAACUUUAUCAUCACUCUUUUCCGUCCAUCAUCAAGAUUAACAACCUACAAAAGAGAAAAAUGAAAAAAGAGCAAAUAAACCUCAUAGAACAGAAGCAAACAGAAAACUGGAAAAUAGAGACAAAGUAAGAAAAGAGUUACUAAUUCGGAAUACCUGUGCAAGAUCUCCUUUAUAUUUCCCACUCUUCAUACGGACCCACGAACCCUGAGAUAUUCCACAAGAUUUGUUACGACUAGAGAGCAAAUGAGAAACUUCACUUGGGGGGACAAGGUUAAUUCUGCCUGGAUAUAUGUUACAAAAUCCUUUGCAUGCCUGAAGUACAGUAGAUACUAAUUAGACAAAACAAUGGCAACCUUCCACUCUGCCAAGUUAACAACCACUAACAGAUGGAAAAUCGAAAAACAAACCUCGCUAACGUCAUUUGCUUUGUCCGCUUCAACAAAAACAAAACCUUUCACAUGGUCAAGUGCAAAAGCAGAAACUAUUUGCAGUUUGUUUCCGAGACAGUCCAAGUCAACAAACUUUUGCAUGAAGCAAAAGGCCAUCUGCCUCUCACGACCAAUCUGUAUCAGACAGUCAUGCAGAACAGCAAUUAGAGAACAAUAUUUUAGACGAAAUAGCUUAGUUCAAAGAGACUACAACAAACCAUGCAUUUAAUCUUCCAAACAGUAGGAUCCUUCAUUAAAUCAGCUGCAGAUACUUCAUCUCCAGAUUCUUUAGAAUCUUCAGCAUGCACUACAUACUUCGAACUACGACCGUAACGGUCUUUAAUUAGUUCUUCCAGUUCAUCACCACUCAACUCCUCUUCCUUCACAAAAAAGGGAAGGUGAGGAGGCCUCGCUGUGCCUUUCAAGUCUUCAUUUUCAGCUUUGCAUUCAUCAGGAAAAUCUGUUCCAUUAGGUAAAGAGAAAACAAAGAAUAUCAGAACCGUUCCAUUAGGUAAAGAGAAAACAAGAAUAUCAGAACCGGUAAAGCCAAGCUUGCAUAAUAGCUGAUAUCAGCUUCUCCUUUGUAUUGCCAGUCAGGCUUUCGGGAAGCAAUAUGUGAUUUGAUGUACAAAAUAAAUAUCUAAAAUUAAAAAUCCAUUAUAACUUAUCUGUACGAGGUUAACAGGAUAUGGAAAAGAGAAAUAGACGUGACUGGACCGAUUAAUAUACAUAGAAAUCAUUUCUUCAAGAAAGGGAUGCACAAUUACAUCCACAAAAUUACGUAGACAACUCAAAGAACGAUAAUGAAAACCAAAGAGGAAAAACGAAGGCAGCAAACUGUCAAAAUCCAAGAAACUUCAUGUCAUGCAUCUACCGGAAAUUUAUAGUUAAAUAGCUAACUAUGCUGUCUAGCUAGCAAAAGUUCUGAAUAGUUAAUAUCAAAUCACAUAAUGCCAGAAUAGUUGGUAAUGUUGCAACAGAAAACUGCAAAAGGAGAAACAAAGAAAGCGGAUAAAUCACAAGAAGUUGAAAAAGGAUAUCAUACAAAACGGCUCCCAUAAAACUAGAGCGAAUAACGUUAACUAUAUUAUUGUGUUACUCUUUGAUUUUUGCAUAUGAAGAUACUAGUUAAUCUAUAAUCCAGACAAUUUGACAGUUUCUAACAACGGAGAAAAGUAUACUGCUGCCCCAUCCCAAUCAAGGAGCACGUUUCUGCUCUAUUAAACAUUAAACCUAGCCACUGAAAAGCACAAUUUAAAAUUCUUGCAACAGCGAGACCUACAUCAAAAGCUGCCAGGAAAUUCUCCACACAAAAGAUAAGCACAAAGAGUAAAAUGUGAAACAUCGUAAUAUGUGGCAGAUAGAAGAUUCUGAAAAUUUUGGGUUUAUGAUAACAUGCAGCCUGAUGCAUACCCAUCUGUAUGCCGCAUUGACCAUCCAAGGAAACAGCACAAGGUACAUAUUAUGCUGUGUUUCAUGCAAAAGGGGCAUGCAACAGCCUGUUUUACGGUUUGAGGGCACAUUUAACCUCGCUGGAGCUUUCGGCAAAAGUGUUCUUAGAGCUGUUCAGAAAAGCAUUUACAACUUUUUUCAUCAAGUCCGACCAACAGCUUCCGCUGCAGCAGAACCCUAAAAUUGGAGCAAUACGUUUUUGCAGCCCAAAAGCUCAUCUUAGGUUCCAACCACAGAAAAAGUUCCAGAUUUCUUGUUUGCUAAACAUCUUGAUGUUGAUUUUCAGUAUAGCGAAGCUGUUGCAGAAACCUUGCCCAAUAGGCACAUAAGUCCAAGAGGGCAAGCGCCUUAUAAUCACAACUUUUCCCAUUGAAGGUGCCAUAACACAUGACAAGUUGGCAAUGCGAUGAUGACAUGCAAAACAGGAAUUCCUUGAAUCCUUACACAAAGACCACAAUUAGCUUGAAUUCCAAGAGAAUGUACCCAAGCUAAUCCGGACUCAAACAUUAUGUCGAGCCCGUAGAUAUAGCACAUUGUACUGAAAUUGACGGCUCACUCUUUUAUCCAAAUCCUAUCAUUUAUAUGCUAAACAGACGCACCAAAAAAUUAUAGAAACUGCAACCUAAGCUCAAGCAUGCCCUAGAACAAAAACCCUAACGACGUCGCUUGUUACGAAACCCCAAAAACCGAAAAGAAAGCGAAUCGCAUUGAGCAAAGCGAGUCUCAACAAUUAGCAAGAGGAAACCCUACACGAGUAAGAAGAAGAAGAAGCACGGAGGUAAUGGCGAAGGCAUCAUUCAUACCCUCCUCGGCGUCCUCGCCACCGGACUCGAGCUCGUCGUCGUCGGCGUCCAUGGCGGCGUCAUCGAAGAACUGCAACACGCCGGGGCGGCCCCGCUUCGCGCGGCCGCGGGAGGAGGCGGCGCCACCGGAGCCCUGCGCUGCCUCGGCGGCGGGGUUCUUUCGCUUCGCGGAGGCGGAGGAGGGGGAGGAAGCCACCUGCUUCCCCUUCCCCUUCACCGCCAUUGAUGAGCUCGACGAGAGAGCUCAGAGGAAAAGGAAGAAGACGACGACGAAGAGUUGGAGAGAGAGAGAGAGAGAGAGAGAGACGAAGAUGGGGCUCUACUCAACCCUUGUGGUAUGGUCGAGGAGGGGUCGAGGGUAUAAUCGGUAUCUUAUCCUCGAGGUGCACAAUUAUCAGAGUAACUGACACGUGGCGCGAUUUGAAUGGGCUAUUAGUGGAAAACUAAUACGACACGUAGAUGGUGCAGCAUAGUUCAGGAUGUUCCUUGAGCAUAGUUUUUUCGUGAUGGGACGGUUUUGCCCCCGGGAGUGUGAGCGACGAUAGCGACAAGUGUUCGACGUUUCGUUUUGAUACGACACCGUAGGGAGAUAGGACACGUGGCUACAUACAGUGUGUAUGCGGCUUUGGGGCACGUGGACGGUGAUGAUUUGUUUAAAUGUCUGUUUUGUGUUUGCUAUGAGAUAGCAAAAGUUUUACUUGAGUAUUUUGUAGACUCCACUAAACAGGCGAAAAAGUUUGCGAAAAGCCGCAUAAUAUGAAAUUAUCUGGACCGUUCGAUGGAAAGCAACGGUUGCGUGAACGGACGAGAUCGGCCAAUCCUGGUAGCGAGAACGGUAGAUCAUCAGGAAUUGGUACCCACCCAUUUUUUGACAAUAUAAAAAAGGAUUAAUAGUAAUUUUAAUUAUUUAUUUAGUUGAGAUUAUAUUUUUACAAUAAUAAUAACUAAAAGUAAAAAAAAAAUCAUCAAUGGCGUAUCAUACCAUGUAAAUUUUUUACAUUUAUAAAUUUACAAAUUCAAAAAGGACUAAAAUGAAAAACUCUGCAUCAUUUGUAUACUUUUCACUAUAAACUUUUUCAACAUUCCUCAAAAAGAUAGGAACAUGCAUAAACAGUUUCUAAACUCUACAUCAUUAUCAAAUAGCCCUUUAUUAAACUUUAACUUCGGACAAUUAAACAUUUAAACUUUAUCAAAUUAUUCAAUAAUUCUAUUUCUUUGAAAAAAUUUACUAAUUAAGUAGCUAUUUUAGUGGUAUCUUUUAUAAAUAAUCAUGUAAAACUUCAAAAUACAAAACAAAGCCUAGUUUUUUUUUUAAGUAUGCAAAUUAAAAAAUAAUGCUGAACUUAUUUUAUAUUUUAUUGCCUUUUUAAGUGUUCAAAUAGAAAAGAUAAAUUUUACAAACUUUUGUGCAAGAUAAUUUUCUUUAAAAAAAAGUCUAUUAAACUAUUAAGGAAGUCCAGUUGUCAAAACGCCAAAGCUUAGGGGGUGAUUGUACAUUUUCCCCCAAAAAAAUUGACUCAGAUUCAACCGGUUCAAUUCACGGGCCGCUCCGGUCCGGUUUUUUUGAAACAUCGGAUCCUCUCCAUCUAGGGUUUAAUUAAAAAAACCAUAACCCGCUCCGCCACGUUAUAAACCCUACGCCCCUCUCCAUCGUCGUCUCCCCCGACACAUCACCCCCCCCACCCCUCUUCUCUCUCCCGCAUGAGGUACGCUCCCUCUCAUUCCCCAUCCAUCCGCCAUUAAAACCCUAAUCCCAAGCUCCGCUUAUGGCUCCGCUUCUCCAGAAGCUCUCCUUCCUCCUCCGCACCUCUUCCUCCUCUUCCCACCUCCUCCGAUCCCUUCUCCUGUCCACGGCAACAGCUUCGAAGAAGCCCCAAAACCCUUACGCUCCCGAGUCCCAUUUCAUGGUCGAUUACCUCGUCUCCUCCAUUGGGCUCUCCCGGGACCAAGCCAUUAAGGCCUCCAAGGGCCUCGCCCACCUCCGAUCCCCCGAUCGCCCCGACGCCGUCGUUGGCUUCCUCAAGCGCACCGGAUUAUCCGACGCCCACAUCAAAAGCCUAAUCUCCUGGCACCCCAAAUUGCUUUGCGCCAACACGGAGAAGACCCUCGAGCGCCGCGCUAAGGAGCUCGAGGAGGGCGGCUUCUCCGGGCCGCUGCUCGUCCAGGUCGUCCGGUCCAACCCUUUUGCUUUCACCAUCAAUGGCGUCCUCCAAAGGCUCCAGUUUUGGAAAGAGUUCGUCGGCGGCGACAACACGGUUUUCUCUAAGGUUGUGAGAAGAAAUAGGAUGCUUAUUAACUAUGAUAUCGAAAGGAAGGUUGUUCCUAAUAUUACUCUUCUGAGAAACUACGGAUUGUCCGACAAGGAUAUCACGCUGGUGAUGAUGAGGGUGAACGGGUUCAUACUCCGCUCGCCGAUCUCGAUUAAGCAUCUGCUGAAGCAAACAGAGGAUUUGGGCUUCUCCCCUGAGUCGAAGAUGUUCGUGCAAGCUCUGUCAGUGGUGGCCAUGAUUAAAAGUACGACCUUGCAGAAGAAGAUCGAGCUUUUCAAGAGCUUUGGGUGGUCUAAAGAUGAGGUUCAUAAGGCAUUUCGGAAGUGCCCGAAUGUGCUCUCGCUCGCGGAGGAGAAUGUGAGGUUGAAAAUGGAUUUCUUGCUGGGGAAAGCAGGCUGCCUGCCGGUGUAUAUCAAAGAGAGGCCGAUGCUUCUUGCCUACAGUUUGGAGAAGAGGCUGGUGCCUCGGCAUCAUGUGAUGAGUAUCCUCAAGGAGAAGGGGAUUGGAAAGUAUUUUAGCUUUUAUAGUGUCGUUGGUUUACCCGAGAAAAACUUUGUUGAGAAGUUUAUUAGGCGCAAUGAGAAAGGAAUGCCAGGUCUUGACAAGGUCUAUGCUGCUGCUUGCGCCGGAGUGAUACCCACUUAGUGGUCUCGAAGUUUCUGAAUGAAGUAUGGUGCUUUUCUACGUAAACGGCAAGAUCAUGAGCUCUUGUUUAAAUUUUAAUGCUCAAUUUGCACCUGGUUGUGGAGAGUACCUUCAUUAUGCUUGGAGGAAUUGUAAAAACUUCACUAAGUCAAGGCAUCGAUAUUUCUCAUGACCAUGAUUUCUAUUCUUUCAUGGUUUUGUUUAGAUUCUGAAUUUUCCUUUAAGGUCCAAUCUGUUUUGUGGUAGCAAGUAUGUAAUAUUUAUUCGAUCCCAAGUUCAAGCCUCUUAUCAGCAUGUCUUAUCUUAUAAGGCGCUUACAGAGCUACACGAGUGUUCAUAAUUUGCUGGGAGAUUAUCAGAGAGAGUUUGUCAUUCCCCUGGUUUGGUUGCUUCUAAAACAGCUAAUAGUUUGCUUCUCUAAUAGGUUGUUUGAGUUCAUCUGAGUUGUAUUAAGCAGGAUAGUUUUACGUGAUCCAUAGCUAAUGUAGGAAUUGUUUAGUCUACUGUUUUAGUCUAGUAUUACGAUAUAUGAUUCUUUUCUUGAUUCAUCAAUUUGUAGCGCUAGCAACUCUCCUUUGUUAUUGUUAUUUGCGUGUGGUUUCAAGUUGGAUUCAAUUUGCAUUGUAAUUUUUAGUUUUGUUAAUGUAUUCGUACUUACAGUCUUACACCAUGCCACCACGUCUUAGCUAGUGUCGGUUGAAAGACUGACCAGCUAAGUCGCUAACCUUCUGCACAUCGGAGAUUAACAGACUUUGGAAUUUGAUGGACAACUUGAGUUCUAAUGUGUAUUUAGUUGGAUCAGAAGGGAAGAUAAUUUUAUCAACCCCAAAAUGGAACUAAAAGUCAGGUACACCUUACGAUUCUCUCCAUCUUUUACCUACGCCCCCUUUCAUUUCAGUUUCAAACUUGUUACAAUGUGUUAAAUUAAUAUAACUUUUCAUUUUUACAUAUUAAGUUUCACAUAUCUUAUUGAGUACAAUGCGAUAAUUGUGUAUGAGAUUAUAUUUGUUUUGUUUUUUUUGUGCCUUUUCUUCUUUUCUUCGCACUUCCAUGAAAUUUUUUUUGUCUUUCCAAUUAUUCAUGUUUGAAAAACCAAUUUGGCGCAGCAUUUUUACCCUUCUCUUUAGUGAUUAAUUGCUGUCUUUUUCACUAGCUCCUCCAAAUGCAGCUAACCUUAAAUGUAGCCGUGUUUUGUCCCUAUAAAUUGUUUCUCUAAUGCAGUUUUGACAACAUUACUGUAAAGCACCUGAAUCUAUUUAUUAUGUUUACGGGCCCCAAGUUAUUUCGUUGGUGUCCAUUGACAAGAAUGGUGCAAAGAAUGCUUACCUUCUAAUAAAAACUUAGAACUGUGAUGACCUCUCUGGUAAGUUAUUUCCACUGGGGUUGUUGAUUUAAUCAUUUGGGAUUUAAUUAUUUGGAAAUUGUAGGUUUUCUUCAUGGCUUAUCUGUAACAAUGAGAAAUAAGCAUGACAAAUUGCAACCAAGAUGUAGAUGCAACAUUAAUAACACUGUUAAGCAGAAUCAAUCGAACAGAACAUAUGCCUCCUUUACUUGCUGCAAGCUGUUUUCUUUUUCUUUGCUGCAAGCUGUUUUCUUUUUCUUUGCUGCAUUUUAGUGGCGUUCUUUUAUAAUAAUUUUAUUCCUUCGAAGUUUGAGAGAGAUUUCCAUGUCUGAAUGGAUGACAAAGAUGGACUUAAAUUCAUCAUUUGUAGGUGGAUGCUUGUUGGUGUGUUGUGGAGAAAAUCCAACAUUGUAUAAGAGGGUGUGCCAUCACUACCUGUCGAUUAUAGAUUAAAACCUUUCACAAAGGAAAUUCUUGUUGCAAUUGUAAUUUGGGGGUAAGCCCGCUUUUCCUUCUUUUCUGUCUAAUACCGUGAACUCUCAUGCAGUUAUAGGAUCAGUCGUUUAAUUUGUUUUAAGUUCUUUUCUUGAUUCUGAGAGAUACGUGAAUCAGUUUCUUCUAAACAGUGAUAGAAUUUGUUUUAAUUUUUCCCAUUUGGUGUUCUGUAUGAUUUUUAGUAGCAAAACAGAAUUUCUCUUUUUGUGUCGAGAGCCUUCUUUUGCCCUAAAAGUGGAAGUUUGAUUAUCUCCUCUCCACUUUAUAUUACGUUUUCGUUUAAAGCCCCAUCAAGCAUUUUAUCUUCAGUUUAUUUUGGUAGAAAACAUUUGAAGCGCACACGCUUUUGAACUCUCAUUGCAAGAAUUAUAUUUUAUGCCUUCUUCAUUUAUGGGUACAAUUUCAUACCUGCAUUUAGCUUAUAGUAUCUUUUCUCACUGCACCAACAUUGGAUUGCUAAUACAAUUUCCCCAAGUCCCUCAAUAUUUUUUUAAAUUUAUUAUCUAACAAUUCGCAAACUCAGGUCCCAGGCUUCCCCACUACAAAGGAUCAAAAUAUACCCACGGAAUUGGCAUCGAUGGUAAAAUUUUCUCAGUACCUGCGAUUGUAUAGAAAACUAAUAACUUUGGGCAGCUGCAAAAUCAAACAUUUUAGCCUCAAUUUGGCAAAAUCUAAAGCGAGCCCGUAUUUCGCCAAAGUUGAGUUCAUUAUAAGCUCACUGUUGUAGACACGGAGGCUCUAACCCAUGGGCAUUUGGCAAGUCUUAUAGAUCAGCUUGGUAUCAAGGGCCGGAUAAUGCUUGUGCGCAAAAAAAAGGUGUUGGAACUACAGAAAUUAUAAUUCAAAAGAGUAAUUGCCGGUAUGUGUGAAGGUAUGUUUUUCUAUCAUAUUUUGUUGCUGUCCAUAAUGCAGUUUACUCGUAAUCGAAAGGAAAGCCUAUAUCUCUCCAUUGCAGCCUGAUUUUCGGGAACUCCUGAGCAGAUCUCAGAUGUGUUCAUAUCAAUGAAAGGGGUGACUCAUUAUUUUGAUUAAUGAUUUCUUCGGACAUAAAGAAGAUUCUGUAAAUACUUACUCCAAAUCUCGCUUUUCAGGAUCUGAUGCAGAAGAAUUUUUGGAAGGAUUUUCUUCGCAGCUCUGGUCAGGCCAUUUGGUCUCAGUCGCAGUUUCUUUGUUUUUGAUUCAGCCCAGCCCGGAAUUCUAUUGUUCGACUCGGAAAAUUUUCAUUUAGGUUGGAUGUAGAAGCAUAUAUAUGCCGGCCUUGGGCUCAAAACCCGGCCUUGCCCGAAAUUGGUUCAUCGCGGCUUUUAAUGUCGUGCUAUUGAAAAUGUUAUCGUAUUAAAACCCUUUAAACAUAAUUUCUCUAUAAUAAAAAUAAAAAUUCUAAAUUAUGGGUUUUAUUUUCGAAAUGCUGGGUUUUGCGUGAGCUUUGUUGUUGUUGUUUCGCACAAAUGUUACACUCUCCUUUCAUUAGUUGAUUUUCACUCGUGAUUCGUCCUCGUUCGUGAUCUAAGCGAGUUUUUUUUUUCAUUCAAUUUGAUCCUAUCAAAGAAAACUUAGUGUCGGAAAAUCACCGCUAAUUUUUUUAAAAAAAAUAUGGCGAGUUAUUCGUUUCAUUCAUUGUAAAACUGAACUAAACAACAAGAACAAACUAGAUUGAGAUCACAAAACCGCAAAACUUAGGAAGUGCCUUUAAAAUUCUGAUCUUCUGUAUUGCGAUUGCUCGAUUUUUCUUCUUUUUUUUUCCUGAAUUGGGCACACUGACAAUUUGGUUACCACGUGCUGUUUCUUAUCUUUAUCCAAAUAUUAUAAAGUCUCAAUUCGUCUUCACGUAUCUUUAGGCUCUUUAGGCAAAAGAAUGAGAGCUUCCCAAUAAAAAUCAGAUGUUAUUGGAAAGCUGAAAAGUUAAACUGUUACGAAAUAGUAUUUAAAUAUAUUUUUUAUUUUAAUAUCAUAUUAAAUAAUUAUUAUAUUGUAAAAAUUUAAAUAAUUAAAAAAUAGUGUUUAAAUAUUUUUAUAUUUAACAUGAGUGUUUGUCGGAGAGCUCAGUGCAAUGGAUAAGCUCGAGCCCCAUUGAUUCCCCCUUCCGAUCGAAUAAACACCAUUCGUGGAAACGCACAUGGGCGACUACUUAGUCAAACCUCUUUUAAUCUUUGAAUCAUGUUUGCGUUUCCUUAUUAGCGUACGAUUUACGCGUCAAACGCGAGAGCGUUCGACGAAGUCAAGCUCGGAUGAUCACGGUCCAAAUACGAAUCCGAAGCUUCCACUGCCUCUUCCGGGAACUUUUUCUUUUUCUUUUUCUUCUUUUUUUUUUUUUUCCAAAUUAGUCUAUAAUUCAAAUUUUUAAAUUCGGCCUCUAUGAAGGGUCCACCAACAAAUUCAUAGAACCCCCUCGAUUAUAGGCUAUUUCGACAAUAUGUUUUUCGAUAAAUUUUCUUUUUUUGUGAGUGAUUACAAUCCCUUAUCGUUGUGUUUAAUCGACCCCUUUGUGGUUUUUUUAUAUUUUUAAAAAAUAAAGUAAUUAGCUACAGCUUUGAUAUUUGAUAUUAGGGGGCCAAAAACAAAUUUGUAUUACAGUAAACCAAAUAAUAAUCUAAGGGUGCGCCUACAUCAAAUUGGGCUGAAGCCAAUUAUAGUGUUUUUGAAAAGUUCGAGUUACGAACAUAUUCGUAUUACAACAGUAAACCAGAUAAUAAAAAAUAUAUAUAUUUACGAUAAAAAAAUUCCUUCAUCUCUUUUCACUUUGGAUAGAACAAACCUCCUCCCUUCUCUCCCUGAUUUUCACCAAUGAAGGUACAACAACACCCACCCCUGUUUUAUAUAGCAAUUUUUGGUCAAAAAUUGCUUUCUUAGUUAAGUUCAUUGGACAUGUCCAAUCAACUUUAGGUUAAAGAUGAUUUAAUUAAUAGUGAUCAGACCAAUUUCUUGAUGAAUAUGUUGACUUAAACCAUAAGAAGAACCAUUCUCUAACUAUUGAAUAUAAAAUAUAUAAGCGUCGUUCUCUUAUAGCUUAAAUUUUCAGAGAUAAACGAUUAUUUUAUACAAUUUAAUACGGUAUCAGUGCAGUGAAUCAUGAAUUCGAGACCCGCAAGACUCUUAACAUUAUUUAGUUUUCUCCCCUUUUUAUUAAGUCUACGUUUUGAGUAUAUUAAAAAGUUUCGAGUCCAAAUAAGAAGAGGCUUGUUAUUUUGAAGAUAAAUAAUUAUUUUAUAUAAUUUAACACUCACCCUAAUCAAAUCAUAUUAUUUUAAUAUAUAGAACUCAUGGCGCACACGUUUUGACAGUGUUUUCUUAAAAAGCAAUUAAGAAACAAUUGAGGGCAAAAGGAUUUAAUUUGGUCAGGGUGUCAACAUCAACAAAUGCAGUACUAAAUUGCCCUUUAUAAUUUAUUUUAUAUAUUAAGCUAAGAUGCUAGUAUUAUAUUUUUGGGAUGGUUCUAUCCUAAUUAGCACCUAAUGAUUAUUUGUAAGGUAAAUUACACUUUGGUCCUCAAACCAUGAGAGGCGUGACGCUUUAGUCCUCGGACUUUAAUUCGUUGCCCAUGGACUAAACAUUGUGCAUGACACUUUAAUCCUCAAAUUUUAAUUAGUUAUAAUUUUUUAUUCGAACUAUAAAGCAUGCGACAUUUUAGUCCUUGGACAUUUUGAAUUGUUGUAAUUAAAUUUCUUAAUACAAUUUUUUUAAUAAAUAUUAAUGAAUUUACAAAUAUCGAAAAAUUAUAAUAUUUUAAUUAUUAUUGUAUCAUCAAGUAAGAUAUUACUACAAUUCAAAAAAUUUGAGGAUUAAAAUAUCUUAUACCUCAUAUAGUUCGAAUAAAAAAUUAUAACUAAUUAAAAUUUAAGAAAUAAAAUAUCAGGCAUCUCACAAUUUAAGAACCAAAAGUGCAAUUUACCUUUAUUUUUAUGUUAUCAUUUUUGUAACCUAGUAUCUAACAAUGCUUUUGUUCUUUUUGCUUUUUCCUGUCCUUUUUUUUUUUUUGCUGAAGUAAAUCUUUUCUGAGAUAUCCAAAACUAUAAACUGUCAAAUAGUGUCAUCAAUAUUUUUGCAUGCACAAAUAUCUAACUUUUGAUUUCUAUAGUAGAGUAAAUAAUGCUCUUCUAGUCCGUGCUUCGAAGAUAGACGACAUAUAAAAUAUUAUUUCUCCGCAGUUUUAACUUGUUCAUCACAAUAAUUAUUUAUUGACGUCAGAAACCAAAAUAUCCCUUCAAUUGAAUUAGGUUGUUUUCUAAUUUUUAUGUUUGAUUUAGUAAUUAAAAAUAGAUUAAAAACACAAAUAAAUCUCAUAUAAAUUAAUAUCCAUUUUUUAUUUAUUUCGCCUAACUUCAAACAAUUUAUAUUUUACCCUAUCAAAAUUCAAGAAAAUACGCUUACUUUCAAGAAGAAAAACAUAAUUGUUUAAUUUAUUUCUAUACUUUAAGUGAUAUUUUACGGUUAUACAAUCAAAAACAAAUGGAACACGUGAUGAGCCCUGGGAGAAGAUAGCAAAUAUCAAACUUAAAAUUUACAACAUGAUAAAAAAAUGUUAAAUAUAAAAGUAUUAAAUAAUUAUCUCUACUUCUAAGUUUUUAGAGAAUAACGAGACUGUUUCGUAUAAUUAACAAAUAUCAAAUUGCUGAAAAUGUAGAAAGACAAAAACAAAAUGUCAAUGACGAUUUUUUUAUAUCUUAACUCUAAAAAAAACAGCUAAACUAUUAAAGAGAAAUUUAUGAACAUAAGUAAAAUGUUAAAUAAUCUUUUUUUUCUUCUCAUUUUGAGAGGUAAGACGCCCAAAAGCAGCAGUAAAACCAAAAGGUUUCAUAACCUUCACAUUUCCCCCUUUUUUUUUUUUUUUGGUAAACUUCAAAUACCACUCCGGUGGUUUCGCACUUUCUCACUUUAGUACCUUUUAGUUUAAAGUGUAUUAAUUCAGUACCCUGUCGUAUCAUUUUUUUUUUUUUCGUCAGCUCCUCCGUUAACAUUUCGUUAAAUUAUAUACAAAAAAUUUCAGAUAGCCUACCUAAAUUUAUUAAAUAUUCACUUUUAGUACCUUUUAGUUUUACCUUUGUCACUGAUUUAACAAAAAAAAAUUAAUAAAUAAGAUAAUAAAAAGAAAAUAAUAAAAUAAUAAAAUACAAAAUUAAUAUACUUUAAACUACAAAAUAUUAAAAUAAAAGAAUACGAAAUAACCAAAAUAGUAUUUAAAUUUUUUUUUUUUUUUGGUUUUUCUUUUGGCCUUCUCUUUUUUGGCCUCUGUUUGGGUCAAAGUAGCCGUCCAAACAAAGGCUGCGUCCUACAGCUUUUUCGAGAAGCCCUUUUGCAACUCCAAAUGACUCUUCUUUGCAUUGAGGGUUAAAAAAACAAAAAAAAGAAAAAUUUCAAAUAUUAUCUCUGUGAUUUCAAUUUUUUCCACUUUAAUAUUUUAUAAUUUAAAGUGUAUCAAUUUAGAAUUCUGUAAUUUUUUUCUUUUUUUAUUAUCGAUUUUACUUUUUUUUUGUUAAAUCAGUGACAAAGUUAAAAUUAAAAGGUACUAAAGUGAAUAUUUGAUAAAUCUAGGUGUGAUAUCUGAAAUUUUUUUGCAUAUAAUUUAACGAAAUAUUAACGAAAAAAAUAAUGAAAAGAUAAAAAUGAAACCAUAGGACACUAAUUUGAUACACUUUAAAUCACAUAAUACUAAAAUGAGAAAGAGCGAAAUCACAAUAGUGGUAUUUGGAGUUUACCAAAAGCAAAAGUGCUCACUAAUUAUUAGUGUACUAAUGCCAUUUGGGUAAAAGAGAUGAACUAUAUAUAAUUAAAUACUAAAAUUAUUUUAAUUUCUUUACCUUUUUCUUUUUGCUUUAUUUCCUCUUAUAAGCAUGUGCUUUUUCUGCGGAAUAAGUACUUACACUUUUUUUCUUUUUUUUUUUGAGAGAUAGAUAGAUAGCACGCUACCCGCUUCGUUUAUUUCAUUUAGAAAUAAAUUUAGCUAGAAAUGUGAAUUAACUAGGAUUCGAACUUGGGUCUCGAGUACCAACUACCAAGCCUUUUUGCCACUUGCGCUAGGAACGGUCGGUAUAAGUACUUACACUUAAAAAUGGUGUGGCGGGGUAUCCAUUUUUUUAAAUUUUUUAAAAAGUAUGAAAAAAUAAUUAUAAAAAAAAUUAUGAUUUUUUUUCUUCAGUGUUCCUUCGUCUGAUUUAAGAAAAAUUGAUUUUUAAAAUUAUUUUUAUAAUUUACAGAAAACUGGUGUUUUCGUUUCCCUAAAAAAAAAAAAAGAAACAUUAAUUUUCCAAAAAAUCUGAAAAAAAAAAGUUUUCAAAAAAAUUAAUGAUUUUUAGAACCACACAGAUGAAAAGUUGAAAAAAAAAAAUAAUUCCAUGAAAAACUUUUUUCUAGAAAAAUAUUUUUUUCAUAUUUUCUUGAAAAAAAUUCUAUUAAGUCCCGGAGACAUAUGCGACCAAUCUAGUAGUUGGUGGGUGUAAUUGUUGACGAGCAACAAAGGGGAUCGCUUAGAGAAAUUACUGCUUCAAUUAAAUUCGUCAUGCCUCGAUUUUGAAUAACAGAUUUUAAAUUUGAAUCCUGCAAAAUUAUAUAAUAUUGAGACUUUAUAUAAUAUAAAUUACUUUAAGAAAUUAUUUGAGAAGCAAGGUCAAUUAUAAGACAUUUGCUUNAAAAAAUCUUAAAUUAUCAUUAUAUUUAUGUUAUAUAAUAAUAUAAUAAUAUAUUUGUAUAAUAAUGAGUGAAUAGCAAAUAUAUACCUAUAAAGUUAAACUUUCAUAUAUUUUUUCUGCAAAAGUUCUAAUAUUUUUAAAUAUGUUCUUCUGAUUUGUUACCAUUGAAAAACUAUUUAUAUUUUUAAUUUUACCAAAAAAUAUGUCUCUGCACAAGUCAUAACACUAUAAUAUAAUACAAGUAAAAAUGUCAAAAUUUAAUCAGGGUUAAGUAUUUAACCUAUAGUUAACUAAAUUUUUUUAACGAAUUCUAACAAUAGGAAUAUAUUUGAAAACAUGAGGACUUUUACAGUGACAAUAUAUGAAAGUUGAAUUUUAUGAAAUUAUAUUUAUUAUUCACUAUAUUUGCAGAAACCUGUAUUAAAUUAACCUUAUAAUAUAAUACACAUUAAUUAAUUUACAGUGUAUGGUUGAUACCUGAGAGCUUGGUGGUUGGUAACCGAGGUUUUAAGUUCGAUUUCUAAUUGAUUCAUAUUUUCAGCUAAAUUUAUUUCUAAAUAAAAUAAACGAAGCAGAAAGCAUGCUACCUAUCUCUCUCAAAAAAAAUUAUAGUCCGUGGUUGGUAAGUCGUACAAAUAUGUGAGACAUGUUAAUUAAAUAGAAAGGUAGGUGUUACCAUCCGGGGACUUUUUUUAUAACCCUUCUUCAUGUCCUCAUCACUACAUCUUUAAUUAUCCAUCAAAAUAUAAUUAUUUUUUUCCUUACAAACUAACAUUUUUAGUUUCUAAACUAUGAGUCAGCGCGGCAUUUUGAUUUUUUAACUUUAAUUUGUUACAAUAAUAUUUUAUUUUGAUGUUUCAAAUUAUUUUAAUUAUGUUUUAAAAUUUAAUUUAUUUGAGUAAAUGCUGAUGUUUCAUUAAUAUAAAAGUGAUGUCACAAUAUAAUAUAAUAAUUAAAAAUAUAAUAUUAUUUUUAUAUUAAUUACACGUUAAUAUUUAAUUAAUUAAUUAUAAUAAAGUAAAAUUUAAUGCCCACCAAAAGUUUAAUUCAAACGUCCCUUCUUUGUGACGUGGCACUUUUUUAUUGGGCCAAAAUUUGGACCGGGGUGUCACACAUUCCACGUCGUAAGAAAGGUACCAAAUCCAUACCCAAACCUAUUUAAAAUAAAUAAAUUGUUAAGGAUACUUCUGAAUGUACCCCAAAAUAUAGUUUAUUAUAGUCAUUUUUUCUGAUGGUAAACUUUAAAUACCACUUUCGUGGUUUCGCAUUUUCUCACUUUAGUAAUUUGUGAUUUAAAAUGUACCAAUUUAGUAUCCUAUGGUUUCAUCUUUUUUUUUUUCGUCAGUCUCUCUGUUAAUUUUUUGUUAAAUCAUAUAUAAAAAACUUCAUAUACCCCACCUAUAGUUUAUUGAAUAUUCACUUUAAUGUUACUUAGUUUUAAUUUUAUUACUGAUUUAACGAAAAUAUUAGUGGAGGGGAUAAUAAGAAGAGAAAAAUAAAAUCAUAAGGUACGAAAGUGAUACACUUUGAAUUAUAGGGUACUAAAGUAAGAAAUUACGAAAUCACAGAAGUGGUACAUGAAGUUUUUUUCAAAAAUUUUUUUUUUAUCAAACUUAUCUACCUCUCAUGUCACGUUUGAAAUUUAAGACAUAGUGAAAACGAUGGUAACUAUGACAGUAUAUUUGUCUAAAUAAAAUUUAAUUUUCUUAUAACAUCUGCAAAUGAAACGAGUUUAAGCUUUUGUUAAACAAAAAGUAAAAAUAUACUCUUAAGGUCUAAAUGUUGCAUCCUAAUCAACCACAAUGCUUCUAUUUUAUUGCAAAAAAAAAAAAAUUAUCUAAAAACAUUUGAAAUGUAU
This 40027-nucleotide long non-coding RNA is filed under the name Ananas comosus (pineapple). RNAcentral describes it as "long non-coding RNA (ACOM_LNC011593)". Lineage: Eukaryota; Viridiplantae; Streptophyta; Magnoliopsida; Poales; Bromeliaceae. The record is from RNAcentral.